GAUUAAGUAUUUAUGACACAUGGCCUUACCUUGUAGUUGGUGGAUCACUUUUGGUGCCACAUCACUUUGUAGUUCAGCAGAUCUGUAUUUACGUCAAAGAAUCUUGUAAAUUGUAGUUCAGCAGAUCUGUAUUUACGUCAAAGAAUCUUGUAAAUUGUAGUUCAGUUAUUAUGCCACACCAUAUUUGAAAUGUUACUUCAGUUUUUAUGCCACACCAUAUUUUUGAGUCACUUCAGUUUUAAUGCCACACUUCCUUAUAGAUAUUGUUCAGUUUUCAUGCCAUACCAAUUUAUUUGGUAUGAUUUCAAAUAAAACUAUCCACCAGAGGACAGAGAACAAUGAUGUCAACGUCUAUAGGACACUGUAUUGCCUUGAACAAUGUGUAAAACCCAUACUGUAUAAUAAGUUAUACCAGCCCAAAACAUGAUAAAAUGGGAAACAAUUCAUAACAUUUAGAACUAUCCUAAAGAUUUAUGUAAUUUCUCCAGGUCACAGUGGCACCCA
This 504-nucleotide long non-coding RNA is filed under the name Mytilus galloprovincialis (Mediterranean mussel). Lineage: Eukaryota; Metazoa; Mollusca; Bivalvia; Mytilida; Mytilidae. The record is from RNAcentral.